This is a long non-coding RNA of Fundulus heteroclitus (mummichog), 1680 nucleotides long. RefSeq lists it as uncharacterized. NCBI's taxonomy places the organism in Eukaryota, Metazoa, Chordata, Actinopteri, Cyprinodontiformes, Fundulidae. The record is from RefSeq and is a predicted model, not a curated record. The transcript has 3 exons.
AAAGCAACAUUUAGGUGAAACAUCUGCAGUUCUAGGCAUUGUGAAGGCAGCUGUAGUGAGAAAUAUGAAUAUGUUCAUAAUUGUCAUUCAGGGAAGGCAGACAAUCUUUAAUUUAUUAAUUCCACUGAAGAUUUCAGGGUCACGGUUUCCGAAACCUGCUUUCUGGAAACACACCUGCAGGCAGCCUCACCUGGGAGCAGUGCAGAGGUGGACCUGCUUCAGGUGGACUUCUGGGCCCAGGCUGCCAGGGAGCUGCUGGUUCUGGUCAUUGAGGGUUUUCUAGAAGAUGUUACUCUACCUCAUGUCUACAAGUCUUCAGCAGAGAGUAGCUUUAUCUCCUGGGAACGUCCUCUUAGACCACCAAGGAUGGAGAACAGGACAAGAGAAGGAGGACCAAAGGGGGAACCUCUCCAUCAUCAUGAAGAACCUUCAGCAGGAGGACAUGUUUCAUUGUACCAUCCCCAGAGAAGAUGUUCAGAGAACAGGCUGAAGGCGUCAGUCAACCAAGAUGGAGAACCUCUGAGUCCUCCUCUACCAGGAGGAGCAGCAGGAGGACCAAGCCUCAGUCUGCUGAUCUGCUGCCAGAAGCUUCUAGAAGCUGUAGGUUCUGGUGCUGCUGGUGUCUCUUUGUGUUCAGCUGGUUAGUGAAGGUACUGAAGGACAGGAUAGAGGUUGAAGAAUGGAGAAGAGGUUUCUAACUAGUGCUGCAUUAAAAGACUCCAGAAAUAAUCAAGAAGCUCUAGAGAGCUUAAACCGUCAGUCAGUUUUAGCAGAACCCUUAAACGCACCUAUGGCUUUGCACUGCAGCAGUAUAUCAACUUACCCACAAUGCUAAAGGACGGAUUUUGGACUUCAUUUGUUCUCCAGGUGUUACACCUGCUGCUGUAACCACAGUUCUCAAGGAACCUGGUUCAGACCCCAAUAACUUUAUAAUUUUCCACCAAUCUCUAACCUUUAAUUUGUUUCCAAAAUUCUUGAAACAGUUGCUGCUUAACUCCAUGCCCAUCUUUCCUAUGUUAAUUUCUAUCAACAAUCAAAGACUGGUUUCUGUCCUCUUCACAGUAGUGAAACAGCGCCUAUCAAAGUCACUAAUGAUCUUCUCCUGGCUGCUGACUCUGGUUACUAUCCAUUCUCCUUCUGCUUGAUCUGACCGCAGCCUUUGACACAAUCUCCCACACCUUCCUUCUCCACAUACUUUCCUCUCUCUUAGUACACCCCCUAGUGGCAGCUCCACACCACCAGGGGUGCGUGCACCACACUUUGGGAAUCCCUGGUCUAAGUAAACCCCUACCUAGUUUCAUUCAUACCUUUCAGGCCACAUUCAGUUAAAAUCAUUCACUUCCUGUCCAGUCCCUGUCAGGGCUCUGUCCAUGGUCCCUGUUGUACUUUAUUUACAGUCUCCCCCUUGGUCAUAUUUUCUACAACAUAAUAUGCACUUUCACAGCUAUGCGGAUGACACCCAGAUUAUAGUCUAUAUUAUUGUAACUCUUCUCUUUGGUCUUCCACCUAAACCCUUGAUAAAUUACAGCUGGUCUAAAACUCAGUAUCAACACACGAAGCCCUUCAGUCCAUCACAUCACAGCUGCUCUGCAGCAGCUUCAUUGGCUCCCACUCACACAUCGUAUCAACCAGUGGCGGCUGGCCCAUAGGGGGCGCUCGGGCGCUACCCUCCCCAGAUGU